This 253-nucleotide ribosomal RNA is filed under the name uncultured bacterium. RNAcentral describes it as "partial 16S ribosomal RNA". It matches the Rfam family "Bacterial small subunit ribosomal RNA", at positions 524 to 776 of the family's 1533-position model. The record is from RNAcentral.
UACGUAGGGUGCAAGCGUUAAUCGGAAUUACUGGGCGUAAAGCGUGCGCAGGCGGUUUUGUAAGCCAGAUGUGAAAGCCCCGGGCUUAACCUGGGAAUGGCAUUUGGGACUGCAAGGCUGGAGUUUGGCAGAGGAGACUGGAAUUCCUGGUGUAGCAGUGAAAUGCGUAGAUAUCAGGAGGAAUACCGAUGGCGAAGGCAGGUCUCUGGGCUAUAACUGACGCUCAUGCACGAAAGCGUGGGGAGCAAACAGG